RNAcentral lists this ribosomal RNA (484 nucleotides) under uncultured bacterium. RNAcentral's name for it is "bacterial SSU rRNA". It matches the Rfam family "Bacterial small subunit ribosomal RNA", at positions 21 to 518 of the family's 1533-position model. The record is from RNAcentral.
GGCUCAGGACGAACGCUGGCGGCACGCUUAACACAUGCAAGUCGAACGGAGUUAAAUGGAGCUUGCUUUGAUUAACUUAGUGGCGGACGGGUGAGUAACACGUGAGCAACCUGCCUUGAGAGUGGAAUAGCUUCUGGAAACGGAUGGUAAUACCGCAUGAAAUUAUCUGACCGCAUGAUCGGAUAAUCAAAGAUUUAUCGCUCAAAGAUGGGCUCGCGUCUGAUUAGAUAGUUGGUGGGGUAACGGCCUACCAAGUCGACGAUCAGUAGCCGGACUGAGAGGUUGAACGGCCACAUUGGGACUGAGACACGGCCCAGACUCCUACGGGAGGCAGCAGUGGGGAAUAUUGCACAAUGGGCGGAAGCCUGAUGCAAGCGAUGCCGCGUGGAGGAAGAAGGUUUUCGGAUUGUAAACUCCUGAUCUGAGGGACGAUAAUGACGGUACCUCAGGAGAAAGCUCCGGCUAACUACGUGCCAGCAGCCGC